AUGAACGCUGGCGGCGUGCCUCAUACAUGCAAGUCGCGCGCACAGACGAGGAGCUUGCUCCUCUGACGUUAGCGGCGGACGGGUGAGUAACACGUGGAUAACCUACCUAUAAGACUGGGAUAACUUCGGGAAACCGGAGCUAAUACCGGAUAAUAUAUUGAACCGCGUGGUUCAAUAGUGAAAGACGGUUUUGCUGUCACUUAUAGAUGGAUCCGCGCCGCAUUAGCUAGUUGGUAAGGUAACGGCUUACCAAGGCAACGAUGCGUAGCCGACCUGAGAGGGUGAUCGGCCACACUGGAACUGAGACACGGUCCAGACUCCUACGGGAGGCAGCAGUAGGGAAUCUUCCGCAAUGGGCGAAAGCCUGACGGAGCAACGCCGCGUGAGUGAUGAAGGUCUUCGGAUCGUAAAACUCUGUUAUUAGGGAAGAACAAAUGUGUAAGUAACUAUGCACGUCUUGACGGUACCUAAUCAGAAAGCCACGGCUAACUACGUG
This 496-nucleotide ribosomal RNA is filed under the name uncultured bacterium. RNAcentral describes it as "partial 16S ribosomal RNA". It matches the Rfam family "Bacterial small subunit ribosomal RNA", at positions 29 to 507 of the family's 1533-position model. The record is from RNAcentral.